GACGUAGGAGGCGAGCGUUAUCCGGAUUCACUGGGCGUAAAGCGCAUGUAGGCGGUUGCACAAGUCCGUCGUUAAAGCCCCUGGCUCAACUGGGGGAGGUCAAUGGAGACUGUGCGACUUGAGGGCAAUAGAGGCACGUGGAACUCCCGGUGUAGCGGUGGAAUGCGUAGAGAUCGGGAAGAACACCAGUGGCGAAGGCGACGUGCUGGGUUGCACCUGACGCUGAGAUGCGAAAGUGUGGGGAGCAAACGGG
Molecule: ribosomal RNA, 253 nt
Filed under: uncultured bacterium
Lineage: Bacteria
Description: partial 16S ribosomal RNA
Rfam family: Bacterial small subunit ribosomal RNA
Source: RNAcentral